This 460-nucleotide ribosomal RNA is filed under the name uncultured bacterium. RNAcentral describes it as "partial 16S ribosomal RNA". It matches the Rfam family "Bacterial small subunit ribosomal RNA", at positions 338 to 795 of the family's 1533-position model. The record is from RNAcentral.
CCUACGGGAGGCAGCAGUGAGGAAUAUUGGUCAAUGGACGCAAGUCUGAACCAGCCAUGCCGCGUGCAGGAAGACGGCUCUAUGAGUUGUAAACUGCUUUUGUACGAGGGUAAACGCAGAUACGUGUAUCUGUCUGAAAGUAUCGUACGAAUAAGGAUCGGCUAACUCCGUGCCAGCAGCCGCGGUAUUACGGUGGAUUCAAGCGUUCUCCGGAUUUAUUGGGUUUAAAGGGUGCGUAGGCUGCCGGAUAAGUUAGAGGUGAAAUCCCGAGGCUCAACUUCGGAAUUGCCUCUGAUACUGUUCGGCUAGAGAGGAGUUGCGGUAGGCGGAAUGUGUGGUGUAGCGGUGAAAUGCUUAGAGAUCAUACAGAACACCGAUUGCGAAGGCAGCUUACCAAGCUACUUCUGACGUUGAGGCACGAAAGCGUGGGGAGCGAACAGGAUUAGAUACCCGUGUAGUC